UAAGGAAUAUUGCGCAAUGGGCGAAAGCCUGACGCAGCGACGCCGCGUGGGGGAUGAAGGUCUUCGGAUUGUAAACCCCUUUCGGGAGGGAAGAUGGAAUGGGGUAACCCAUUCGGACGGUACCUCCAGAAGCAGCCACGGCUAACUUCGUGCCAGCAGCCGCGGUAAUACGAAGGUGGCAAGCGUUAUUCGGAUUUACUGGGCGUACAGGGAGCGUAGGCGGUUCGGUAAGCCCUUCUGUGAAAUCUUCAGGCUUAACCUGGAAAAGUCGGAGGGGACUGCUGGGCUAGAGGACGGGAGAGGAGCGCGGAAUUCCCGGUGUAGCGGUGAAAUGCGUAGAGAUCGGGAGGAAGGCCGGUGGCGAAGGCGGCGCUCUGGAACGUUUCUGACGCUGAGGCUCGAAAGCGUGGGGAGCAAACAGGAUUAGAUACCCGAGUAGUCCCUGAGCGGGCUGGCAAGGCGCAU
Molecule: ribosomal RNA, 465 nt
Filed under: uncultured bacterium
Lineage: Bacteria
Description: bacterial SSU rRNA
Rfam family: Bacterial small subunit ribosomal RNA
Source: RNAcentral